Molecule: long non-coding RNA, 1778 nt
Organism: Daktulosphaira vitifoliae (grape phylloxera)
Lineage: Eukaryota; Metazoa; Arthropoda; Insecta; Hemiptera; Phylloxeridae
Exons: 2
Source: RefSeq, a predicted model, not a curated record
CGUUAAGAUCAAUAUGCAGUCAGAAAGUUUUAUAAUUACUAUUUAUUGUAAAUUUAUCAGAAAAGCUCAAUAUUUUUUUGCAUUUUUAUGGUAAUAGAUAACUUAAAUAGAAGUAAUAGUAAUAAUUUCCUAGGAACUUUUGUUGUUUGUUGAAAAGAUUCUAUAAUUGAAAUAUUGAGAACUUAAUUAAUUUUAAUGAUUUACUUUAACUAAAUGUACCAAUCAAAACAAAGUUGUUAAAAAGAUUUACUCAAUUGAGUUUAUUAUAAAAUUUGAUUAUAUUUGUAAAAAUCAAUUGUUAAUUCAGGAGAAAAAACAAUCAUUUUUUUUAGAAAUGAUUUAUAUAGCAACACGUUAGAAAAAAAUUUGAAUAUUAUAGUCUAAUAGUAGCACACACAAACAGAGUAAUAAAAUUAUUAAAUUACAAAGUAAAAUGAUUUAAUUUUGUAGUUGAAACCUAUCAUAUCAAACUUCAUUCGUUAAUAAAUAUUUUGAAAACAUUAGAAAUUAAUGAUUUUAAUUGUCUUUAUGGAGACGAUGUAAUAACUAACUGUUUAAUUGAUAAAUUAGAAUUUUUUUUUCAAUUUUUGAGAGUAAUAUCUUCAACUAGAUACGAAUUGUAGUAAUUUGACGUAUUGUUGAAAAAAGUAGGUCAAGUUAGAGCAGAGAAAAUAAAUGAUAGUCACAAAAAAAUAUCUUCUCGGCUUUGCAUCGAAGCGAAAACUUAAAAUAUAGUAAAAUAAUUUUAAUACGAAUAAGAAAUUUCUUCUUGCAAGGGGCGACUAAAGUGAUGGGAUCCUUGAUCUUUAUUGAAGUUAUUGAAUCUAAAUGUGAUAAAAAUCAAACGAGUUAAAAUUUAUACUAACUUAAAAAGAAUUAAGAAAAAAUGCAAAAAAUUCAUUGCCAUAUGCGGGUUGGAACCUCGUACCCCAAGCGUGUAAAACAUAAAUUUUACCAACUCGGCAACCGUACGUUGCUUCCGGCGGUUGAAAAAUUGGCUAUUUAAGCUAGUUCAAAUUUCAAAGUUAUUUUUCUCGACUUAAAAGAAACAAACAUAUUUAAAUAAGUUUAACUAUCUAUACUAUAUCAAUUUUAAUUUAUAUAAUAUUUAUGAAAAUCUGUACUCCCCUUGUCAGGUAUUUUAAAAUAAAAUAAAAUACAAAACCCAGAAUUUUAACACAAAAAUAGCAUAUUUUUGCAUACGGUAGUCAUUUUCACCAUGAAGACAAAUCCAGAGGUCAAAUUUUUUUUUUUCAAAUUAAAGUAUAUUACAUAAGCUUUAAUUUAAGAUAUAUAUAAAAGUGUCAGUCUUUCCGGAACAUUUUCAAAAGUUAAGUUGAAAAAGUUCUACUUUCUAUACGCAUUUUAAAAGGUUUGCACCCCCCCUGUAUAAAGGGAAAUGGUCCGAUUUUAAAAAAAAGUAUGUCGAAUGAAAGAAGUAUAUAUAAAGUAUUUAUCAUUAAAGAAUAAAGUUGAUUCAUGCAUUUUUUAAAAAGUUAUAGCAACAUAAUGUUAAAAAAUGUAAAAUAUAAUAUCAAGAAUUUUUUCACAAAAAUAGCAUAUUUUUGCAUACGGUAGUCAUUUUCACCAUGAAGACAAGUCCAGAGGUCAAAUUUUUUUUUUUCAAAUUAAAGUAUAUUACAUUAGCUUUAAUUUAAGGUAUAUAUAAAAUUGUCAGUCUUUCCGGAACAUUUUCAAAAGUUAAGUUGAAAAAGUUAAUUUUUUGUAAAAAAGUUACCAUUUUGAAACCCCAUCCUUUGGGCUGUUAAAGGGUCAAA